Long non-coding RNA from Spea bombifrons (plains spadefoot toad), 926 nucleotides. RefSeq lists it as uncharacterized. NCBI's taxonomy places the organism in Eukaryota, Metazoa, Chordata, Amphibia, Anura, Pelobatidae. The transcript has 5 exons. The record is from RefSeq and is a predicted model, not a curated record.
CAGAACAGUUGAAGAAAAUGUACUUGCAUCUAUUCCAUUGGCGUCUACUGUGACUUAAUGCUUUACAUGGAUAAACUCCAGGUCUCUAACCAAACAAUGGGUGGCUUCUGACACUCCUAGAAAAAGGUUCUUGACAAGCUUCCUUCACAAUGGGAAUGUCUACAGGUGGAGAACAGCUGAACAUGUCCAUGUGAGGGCUGUGUAAGGCUUUCUUCAAGCAGCACCUUGUCUGCCCUCUGUACCUUGGACACAGUUCUCUAACCAGAAGACGGAGGUAGAAAGUGUGGCUUCAGAUCCUUCCAGGUGAGUUCUGGACUUCUGUAACAUGUGGCUGUUUGUUCUGUCAAUGAUGUUAUACAUUUACCUACAUUGUUUGACUCUUCUAAUGAAAACAAACAUAAGCUGAGACAAAUAAAAUCCAUUCCCUGGGUUUCCUCGGGGUAAACAUUUGUUAACGAGUCAUUCUCUUACAGGUCAAAUGCUGCCAGAUGCGAUCCACCAUAUUAAAACCAGGCAAGUGAGUGGCUUUUUGUUUCUGGUCUUCUGAAACUAUGAUGAGUCUAUCCCGAACCUGAGUCACUGAUGACAAACUCUUUAUGGAUCUGACUUCUGAGUUUCCUUGCAUUUUCUUAGAAGCAGGUGUCUUCAGUUUGUUUUGAUUCUGUUAAUUAAACUUCACUCCUUUCCUCAUUUUAGGUACUGGAUUUUAUGCCAUGCAAGCACUUCCAGACUUACUGGUGUCCAAUAUCGAUCUGCUUUGUUACUGUGUGAAUACAUCUAGUACCACCAACAGACUGGUUCAGCCCAGUUUAGAAUGUUCUUUGGUGGCACCAGUAGAGGUGACAUGUGGAACUCGGCUAUACAUUGGUUGCUAAGACAUAAUGCUGUAACGGAAUAUUAAACAAAACUAUCUUGUUGCAUCAAAA